This 447-nucleotide ribosomal RNA is filed under the name uncultured bacterium. RNAcentral's name for it is "bacterial SSU rRNA". It matches the Rfam family "Bacterial small subunit ribosomal RNA", at positions 349 to 793 of the family's 1533-position model. The record is from RNAcentral.
CAGCAGUGAGGAAUAUUGGUCAAUGGAGGGAACUCUGAACCAGCCAUCCCGCGUGUAGGAAGACGGCCUUAUGGGUUGUAAACUACUUUUAUACAGGAAGAAACGUACCCUCGUGAGGGUGCCUGACGGUACUGUAGGAAUAAGCACCGGCUAACUCCGUGCCAGCAGCCGCGGUAAUACGGAGGGUGCGAGCGUUAUCCGGAUUUAUUGGGUUUAAAGGGUCCGUAGGCGGAUUAAUAAGUCAGUGGUGAAAUCCCAUCGCUUAACGAUGGAACUGCCAUUGAUACUGUUAGUCUUGAAUGAGGGUGCAGUGGUUGGAAUGUGUAGUGUAGCGGUGAAAUGCAUAGAUAUUACACAGAACACCGAUUGCGAAGGCAGAUCACUAACCCUAAAUUGACGCUGAGGGACGAAAGCGUGGGGAGCGAACAGGAUUAGAUACCCUGGUAG